UACGGAGGGGGCUAGCGUUGUUCGGAAUUACUGGGCGUAAAGCGCGCGUAGGUGGCGUUGUAAGUUAGAGGUGAAAGCCCGGGGCUCAACUCCGGAAUUGCCUUUAAGACUGCAUCGCUAGAAUUGUGGAGAGGUAAGUGGAAUUCCGAGUGUAGAGGUGAAAUUCGUAGAUAUUCGGAAGAACACCAGUGGCGAAGGCGACUUACUGGACACAUAUUGACGCUGAGGUGCGAAAGCGUGGGGAGCAAACAGG
RNAcentral lists this ribosomal RNA (253 nucleotides) under uncultured bacterium. RNAcentral describes it as "partial 16S ribosomal RNA". It matches the Rfam family "Bacterial small subunit ribosomal RNA", at positions 524 to 776 of the family's 1533-position model. The record is from RNAcentral.